GCGGCGGAUGCGGUGGCGGUGGCGGCGGCGGAGGCUGCUAAAGUUGGCGCGUUGAUUUAUUCGGCCUUGUGGCUGCAUGCGUGCACGGCGUAUUAAUGGCUGCAUGCAUGCAUGCAUGCGUGUUCAUCUUAGUUAAGUCAGUCUAGUGGUGUUAAUUUCAGGAUUAGCUGCGGAUUUCAGUCAUGUGUUACGUCCAUGGUGUUCUUUUAUCGUACAACCAUUGUGUUCGUUAGCUGCGGAUUCGUGUUUCGAUUAGUUAGUUGUCAUCCUACAUUCCAUAGUGGUGUCAUUUGGUCUUGGUUUUCUUAUGUCGUUGCCUUGAUCGGUACCAAAUUUAAUCCUACAAAUGUCCUCGUUCUUAUGAAAAUUUCGGUUUCCUGGAUUGUACUUACCCAACACUUUGUUUCAUUUGAUUUGAAUCUGCUAUGAUCUAAUCUUUAUUCUCC
This 446-nucleotide long non-coding RNA is filed under the name Hordeum vulgare. RNAcentral describes it as "long non-coding RNA (HVUL_LNC013392)". Lineage: Eukaryota; Viridiplantae; Streptophyta; Magnoliopsida; Poales; Poaceae. The record is from RNAcentral.